Molecule: ribosomal RNA, 302 nt
Filed under: uncultured bacterium
Lineage: Bacteria
Description: partial 16S ribosomal RNA
Rfam family: Bacterial small subunit ribosomal RNA
Source: RNAcentral
GCAGUAGCCGCGGUAAUACGUAGGGUGCAAGCGUUAAUCGGAAUUACUGGGCGUAAAGCGUGCGCAGGCGGUUCGUUAAGACAGAUGUGAAAUCCCCGGGCUUAACCUGGGAACUGCAUUUGUGACUGGCGAGCUAGAGUAUGGCAGAGGGGGGUAGAAUUCCACGUGUAGCAGUGAAAUGCGUAGAGAUGUGGAGGAAUACCGAUGGCGAAGGCAGCCCCCUGGGCCAAUACUGACGCUCAUGCACGAAAGCGUGGGGAGCAAACAGGAUUAGAUACCCGCGUAGUCCCUGUCUCUUAUAU